RNAcentral lists this ribosomal RNA (268 nucleotides) under uncultured Streptococcus sp. RNAcentral's name for it is "partial 16S ribosomal RNA". It matches the Rfam family "Bacterial small subunit ribosomal RNA", at positions 1114 to 1382 of the family's 1533-position model. Lineage: Bacteria; Bacillati; Bacillota; Bacilli; Lactobacillales; Streptococcaceae. The record is from RNAcentral.
UUGUCCAUCAUUCAGUUGGGCACUCUAGCGAGACUGCCGGUAAUAAACCGGAGGAAGGUGGGGAUGACGUCAAAUCAUCAUGCCCCUUAUGACCUGGGCUACACACGUGCUACAAUGGUUGGUACAACGAGUUGCGAGUCGGUGACGGCGAGCUAAUCUCUUAAAGCCAAUCUCAGUUCGGAUUGUAGGCUGCAACUCGCCUACAUGAAGUCGGAAUCGCUAGUAAUCGCGGAUCAGCACGCCGCGGUCGAAUACGUUCCCGGGCCUU